GGGGGAUAUGAUAGAAACAUUUAAAUAUAUAAAGGGAAUCAACACAGUAAAGGAGGAGACUAUAUUUAAAAGAAGAAAAACUACCACAACAAGAGGACAUAGUCUUAAAUUAGAGGGACAAAGGUUUAAAAAUAAUAUCAGGAAGUAUUACUUUACUGAGAGGGUAGUGGAUGCAUGGAAUAGCCUUCCAGCUGAAGUGGUAGCGGUUAACACAGUAAAGGAGUUUAAGCAUGCGUGGGAUAGGCAUAAGGCUAUCCUAACUAUAAGAUAAGACUAGGGACUAAUGAAAGUAUUUAGAAAAUUGGGCAGACUAGAUGGGCCGAAUGGUUCUUAUCUGCCGUAACAUUCUAUUUUUCUAUG
This is a non-coding RNA of Pelobates cultripes (western spadefoot toad), 360 nucleotides long. NCBI's taxonomy places the organism in Eukaryota, Metazoa, Chordata, Amphibia, Anura, Pelobatidae. The record is from the annotation of a GenBank genome assembly.